This 459-nucleotide ribosomal RNA is filed under the name uncultured bacterium. Its description in RNAcentral is "bacterial SSU rRNA". It matches the Rfam family "Bacterial small subunit ribosomal RNA", at positions 339 to 791 of the family's 1533-position model. The record is from RNAcentral.
UUACGGGAGGCAGCAGUCGAGAAUUUUUCACAAUGGGCGCAAGCCUGAUGGAGCGACGCCGCGUGGGGGAUGAAUGGCUUCGGCCCGUAAACCCCUGUCAUUCGCGAUCAAACCUUAGUAUUUAAAAGAUGCUGAGCUGAUAGUAGCGGAAGAGGAAGGGACGGCUAACUCUGUGCCAGCAGCCGCGGUAAUACAGAGGUCCCGAGCGUUGUUCGGAUUCACUGGGCGUAAAGGGUGCGUAGGUGGUGAGGUAAGUCGGAUGUGAAAUCUCGGAGCUCAACUCCGAAACGGCAUUGGAAACUACCUUGCUGGAGGGUUGGAGGGGGGACUGGAAUUCUCGGUGUAGCAGUGAAAUGCGUAGAUAUCGAGAGGAACACCGGUGGCGAAGGCGAGUCCCUGGACAACACCUGACACUGAGGCACGAAAGCUAGGGGAGCAAACAGGAUUAGAUACCCUGGU